Molecule: small RNA, 116 nt
Filed under: Marmota monax (woodchuck)
Lineage: Eukaryota; Metazoa; Chordata; Mammalia; Rodentia; Sciuridae
Source: RNAcentral
GCCGGGCAUGGUGGUGCACGUCUGUAAUCCCAGGGCCUUGGGAGGCUGAGGCAGGAGGAUCAAACCAGCCUCAGCAAAAGUGAGGCACUAAGCAACUCAGUGAGACCCUGUCUCUA